GACGAACGCUGGCGGCGUGCUUAACACAUGCAAGUCGAGCGGUAAGGCCCUUUCGGGGGUACGACGGGCGGGCGAACGGGUGAGUAACACGUGGGUGACCUGCCCUCAGCUCUGGGAUAAGCCUGGGAAACCGGGUACUAAUACCGGAUAUGACUCCAUGACGCAUGUUGUGGGGUGGAAAGCCUUGUGCGGCUGAGGAUGGGCCCGCGGCCUAUCAGCUUGUUGGUGGGGUGAUGGCCACCAAGGCGACGACGGGUAGCCGGCCUGAGAGGGCGACCGGCCACACUGGGACUGAGACACGGCCCAGACUCCUACGGGAGGCAGCAGUGGGGAAUCUUGCGCAAUGGGCGAAAGCCUGACGCAGCGACGCCGCGUGAGGGAUGACGGCCU
Molecule: ribosomal RNA, 390 nt
Filed under: uncultured bacterium
Lineage: Bacteria
Description: bacterial SSU rRNA
Rfam family: Bacterial small subunit ribosomal RNA
Source: RNAcentral